CGGACGGGUGAGUAAUACUUAGGAAUCUGCCCAUUAGUGGGGGACAACAUUCGGAAACGGAUGCUAAUACCGCAUACGCCCUACGGGGGAAAGCGGGGGAUCUUUUAGACCUCGCGCUAAUGGAUGAGCCUAAGUCGGAUUAGCUUGUUGGUGAGGUAAUGGCUCACCAAGGCAACGAUCCGUAGCUGGUCUGAGAGGACGAUCAGCCACACUGGGACUGAGACACGGCCCAG
RNAcentral lists this ribosomal RNA (233 nucleotides) under uncultured bacterium. RNAcentral's name for it is "partial 16S ribosomal RNA". It matches the Rfam family "Bacterial small subunit ribosomal RNA", at positions 99 to 334 of the family's 1533-position model. The record is from RNAcentral.